AAGCCACACUCAGGAUAUCUGUGAAUCACUUCUCUCUUGGGUGAAAUUCAAUAAAACAGAAAAUAGCAGAAAAGAAUGGUUUAAAUUCAAAAGCAGCUGUACAAGAUCUUAAGAGGAAGGAAGCAACUGAGAAACUUUGUGAUGGUUGGCUGCUCUUCAGUUUCAAGAGUGAUCCUCAGUUCUUCCUGACUCCAGCGAGGGGACCCUCCCAAGGGAAAUGACUCUCCAUGAACCUCUCCAAUGUCUCCAGCCUUGAAGAGAUGAUUCAUUACAGUCCUUUACUGAUAAAUAGAAAAUUUAAAAAAAAAAAAAAAAUCAAAACCACCCAAAGAAAAAGGACCACUUUAAAAUAAAUGCAAAGAGCAAUAGAGUGAGACAGACAAAUACCCCAGAACAAAGAGCCCACCAUUCUGAUGUAAAAACCUCCUGUUCUCUUAUUAAUAUAGAUUCUUUGGCCAUAUGUAUAUAAUAUACCUGGCUUAUGAUAACUCAGUAAGUAGCUAAGCCUAAGUAUAUAGAUCUGGUUGUUUUUCUACCUUAAUUUGGUUGGUUUUAAAUUUUUAUUUUAUUUUAAAUACUGGAAAAGAAGUAGAUAUUGUCUGUUUUGACGCUCAAAUACUGUUCUGAACUUGGGAAAAACUUGGGAUUAAUGCAAGUAAGAACCAACUCCUGUCUUCCUGAUCAAAUACAUGUGAACAAAUUAAUUAUAUAGUUCCAGACACUUUUAUUCAUAUUUUAUUUGUCAGCU
Molecule: long non-coding RNA, 748 nt
Organism: Vidua macroura (Pin-tailed whydah)
Lineage: Eukaryota; Metazoa; Chordata; Aves; Passeriformes; Viduidae
Exons: 4
Source: RefSeq, a predicted model, not a curated record